Mauremys reevesii (Reeves's turtle) is the source of this 546-nucleotide non-coding RNA. Lineage: Eukaryota; Metazoa; Chordata; Testudines; Geoemydidae. The record is from the annotation of a RefSeq genome assembly.
AUGACACUGUCACUGUUCUACUCCCUUUUCCUACUCGCUGCCCCGUCAGGUGUCCUCUCUCAGGUGCAGCUGAUCCAGACUGGCCCGGGAGCAGUGAAACCCGGAGAGACCCUCAGUAUCACCUGUAAGGUUUCUGGAGUCUCCGUCAGCAGCUACUAUUGGAGCUGGGUCCGGCAGCCGUCGGGGAAAGAGCUGGAGUGGAUGGGGCGCAUCCAGAGCACUGCAGGGGGAGGCAGCACAGAUUACAGCUUGGCUUUCAGUAGCCGGAUCACCAUCGCCAGGGACACCUCGAAGGGCGAAGUUUAUCUCCUGCUCCGCUCGCUGACAGCUGCAGACACUGGCACCUAUUACUGUGCCAGGGACACAGUGACACAGAGCAGAGCAGGGACUGGCACAAAAAGAGGAAGCGAGUUCCGCGCAGACACUCUGGGCCCUCUUACACAAACAUCCCUGCUCCUGGUAGCAGGAAAACGUGCACUCUUCUGGCCAUUAUUAUCUCACACUCAUUGGGCAGGGGCUGUCACCUCAGAGAACCGAAAUGGGUGA